Molecule: ribosomal RNA, 440 nt
Filed under: uncultured bacterium
Lineage: Bacteria
Description: partial 16S ribosomal RNA
Rfam family: Bacterial small subunit ribosomal RNA
Source: RNAcentral
CUACGGGGCGCUGCAGUAGGGAAUAUUGGACAAUGGGCGAAAGCCUGAUCCAGCAACACCGCGUGCGCGAUGACGGCCUUCGGGUUGUAAAGCGCUUUUAGAGGAGAUGAGAAAGGACAGUAUCCUCUGAAUAAGCCUCGGCGAACUACGUGCCAGCAGCCGCGGUAAAACGUAGGAGGCAAGCGUUAUCCGGAUUUAUUGGGCGUAAAGCGCGUGCAGGCGGUUUAACAAGUUGGAUGUGAAAGCUCCUGGCUCAACUGGGAGAUGUCGUUCAAAACUGUUAGACUAGAGAAUAGGAGAGGGAGGUGGAAUUCCGGGUGUAGUGGUGAAAUGCGUAGAUAUCCGGAGGAACACCAGUGGCGAAAGCGGCCUCCUGGACUAUUUCUGACGCUAAGACGCGAAAGCUAGGGUAGCAAACGGGAUUAGAUACCCUCGUAGUC